This 438-nucleotide ribosomal RNA is filed under the name uncultured bacterium. RNAcentral describes it as "partial 16S ribosomal RNA". It matches the Rfam family "Bacterial small subunit ribosomal RNA", at positions 338 to 794 of the family's 1533-position model. The record is from RNAcentral.
CCUACGGGGGGCUGCAGUGGGGGAUAUUGCACAAUGGGGGAAACCCUGAUGCAGCGACGCCGCGUGUGGGAAGACGGUCCUCUGGAUUGUAAACCACUGUCCCCAGGGACGAAGAUGACGGUACCUGGGGAGGAAGCUCCGGCUAACUACGUGCCAGCAGCCGCGGUAAUACGUAGGGAGCGAGCGUUGUCCGGAAUUACUGGGUGUAAAGGGAGCGUAGGCGGGACUGCAAGUUGGGUGUCAAAUCUCCCGGCCCAACCGUUAGCCGCACGCACAACUGCAGUUCUUGAGUGAAGUAGGGGCAGGCGGAAUUCCGAGUGUAGCGGUGAAGUGCGUAGAUAUGAGGAGGAACACCAGUGGCGAAGGCGGCCUGCUGGGCUUUUACUGACGCUGGGGCUCGAAAGUGUGGGGAGCAAACAGGAUGAGAUACCCCGGGGU